UGGGAGGGCAUCUACUUGUAAUUGGGCUGUGCCCUAAGCCGCCGUGUUCCGGCUGGCACAAACCCUAGCUAUUUUCCCCCCUGCAAUUCCUCUGCAAUCCAUUCCAAUUCGGACAACUUCUUGUGUUUUUAUGGUGGAGAAUGCUUACAAUCAUCGACGAUUCUAGCUAGGCCCUGUCACCGUCGCCGGCCCUCCCCCUCAUCCACGGCCCACCACACAUCCUGGAAUGCUAUGGUGAUGCAGCUGGGGCAGGCAUCGAUGACGCCAUCACCGCGGCACACCACGAUGCCGUAUAUGCAGUCUUGGUCAGUUCGUGUGGAUGAGGCGCUAGUGAAUAGAGCAGUAGAUAGGAGCUCAAGGUUUGCUUUGUAGGUGCUCUCAUUCAUGUGGGUGUCUCUGUAGUAGCAGAUCUACGUUAGUGGAUUGACGACAGCGACGAAUGGCUCGAAGCCGAGAAUAAGCAGCAAGACGAUGAUCAUGGCACUGCCUAACCAUAGGCCGUGGAAUCAAAUUUCGUGGAAUACAAUAGUGCGGCCGUCCAGGCAUCAGCCUGUGUAAUGGCUACAAGCAAUGCAAGACAAGGGGAGAGAACAAUAACAAAUCCAGUAUGAUGCUGACAUUUGUCAAGACAUUGAAAACCUGAGAUGCCAGCACUGCUUGUUUGUAUAGAUGCUCAAGAAGACUGCUCAAAGGAGGACAGUUUGUAGGACAGUUUGUGUGACAAUGCGAGCACUACCUGUUUGUAUAAAUGCUGAAGGAGAAAACUGUUCAGAGAAGGACAUGUGUGUGUGAGAGAGAGGGAAGGAGAAACAGGGGCCAGGAGUAAGAGGUGAAGAGCAAGGAGAACCACAUGUUGUCCCUUUGUCAUCGACCCCAUCCCGCCGUUGCAGGCUUGUCCCGGUGGCCUUUCGCUUGGUGAGCUGUUACCCUGCCCUAGUUCUUUGUCUCUGCCUCUUUCAUGGUUUCUUCCUUUCGAAGAUUUCUUUUUUAUCUCCCUUCUAAAGGUAAGUUCUGGCUUAGCAUCCUUCAUGUUGUAACACAAACAAAAUAUUAGUGAUCUGGCAGCAACACCAUUUUAUGUUGAGUUAUCUAAUUUAGAUGAUUGCUACUAUACAACUCGACUGCCAAAUUAUGUAGCUUUUUCUACUUGAUAAAUAAAGAACCAGGUCACACCAUUUUCUUUACUUUAUUAUUCGGAUUAUAUGCAAGAGUUUUGGUGUGGAUUAUAGAUUCUACAGUUACUCUUAGCUUGUCAGCUUUGUUGAUCCUAAUUUACGAUGUUCACCAAGGAUUAUAGACCAUGGUACCUUCAUCUGUUGUCGACAGUUUCCUCUUUCAUAUUUGAUGUUAGUUUGUACAAGCUACUGGGUUGUGCUUAGAUGGUAUGGUUUCUCUGCUAUUUAGAAACUACACUUAACACUCAUAAAGUACAAUGAUUGGAUCCUAAACUGAAAUAUUUAUUUUGGCGGCUUUAAAAUUUGAUGUGGGAUGGGCAUACGAGUUUGAUGUUUGCAGUCCUCUCUGAGCUUCAAGUUGCUCGACAACACGACAAAUUCAGUUAUAGAUUUUUACCAAAGCUAACUGAAAUAAAGUUCAGUUCAGCAGACUAUGUCUGUUGGAAGGAAGCAAAUUUCUUGCCUUCUGAAUCCUACGUAGCCAUCAUAUUUUAUUUCAGACUGAAUCGUCCCAGCUCAGUGUAUCCUUGCUAAAAUAAGAACAUCAUUUUUUAGGGGAUGCCACAAAAUAAAAAACUGACCAGGACUGCAUCUCUCAUAUUUUCUUGCUUAGAUUGUUAAUCUGAAUUCGUGUUUGAUAUUGUAGUAUGGAGGUUUCACAAUGAUGCAUGUUCCGUUGUCGUUUGUUUUCCAACUGCUUUGAUAUUAAUUUACAAGAUAGUAAGUUUUAUAUGUGUGGUUGGAUGUCAAUCUUUACAGUUUGAUGACUAGAUUUAUCCAAGGAAGAAAAACUGAUAUUAGUAAUUAUGUGUCAUAUAUAGAUGCAGAUCCGAGUUGCCAUAAUGGAAUAUGGAUGGACAACACAAAAUAGCCCAGUUCCUUAAUUUUGUGUUUGAUGGAAGUAUAUGGUUCAACUUGUAUUGUCCAACAUAAAUUGACACAAACCUGUGCGCGUUUACUCUGAACGGUAAUGUAGUGCAUGAAUGCUACACACUCUCAAUCGCUCCUUUUCCAUGUUGGCAUCCUACUUCGUUUAAUCAUGAUGAUUUUGCUCGCAGAUAACAAUAGUCUUGCAAGCUUGAUCCCCAUCAUAAAUCGAAUACUCUUGGGAUGCAUUUUGAUUUAACUUAUUUCUUUCUUUGGAUUCAUUUAUGUAUCAUUGUUUGUUUCCAAGUGGUUGUCACUCGGGUUUCUGAUAACUGUAGUGUGGGUCUUGCCAGAGUGGUGUAAGGUGGUGUUGUUAUGGAACUUUGCAGCUGCUCCUAGAUCGAUUCAACCUCCAUCUGAAUGUUUUAGUUCAUCUAUGCUUUUGAAAUUUUUCUACAGAAUAGUGAGGUUAUAGUUAUUCCCAAACGCCUUGUGGAGAGUAUUCUUAAUUGUAUUCGCUGCUUCGGGUGCUUGUCUAUAUGUAUUAUGAGUAUUCACCUAUAGCUUGAUAUCCUACGAGAGGAGGACAUUUAUACGUGUUUCUCAAUGAUUUUCACUAAUCUAUCCAUGUUGUCAUACAGAGAUGCUAACAAACACGACAACAUGAUUAGUGCGCACAGUUCCGUCUCAAGAGACGUGCCCAGGGCGUGUCCCAGCCACUAGUGGUCUACAAUUACUAACUGAUAUGAGUUACCACUGUAUUUUUCUUCUUCUAAUUACAACAUGUAUACAUGUGUGUUAUAAGUUCAAUUAUAUAUGAAGAUGCCUAUAUGUUGUUUUUCAAUUUACUUCCACAAAACUACAAACUGGGUAUUCCUAUUUUACAGAUAUAAGUUGCAUCAUAAUAAUCUUCACAUUUUAGUUGCAUCAUAAUAAUCUUCUUCUUCUAGUCUUCUUCUUCUAACUUUCUUCUUUCCCAU
Long non-coding RNA from Triticum aestivum (bread wheat), 3022 nucleotides. RefSeq lists it as uncharacterized. Lineage: Eukaryota; Viridiplantae; Streptophyta; Magnoliopsida; Poales; Poaceae. The transcript is spliced from 4 exons. The record is from RefSeq and is a predicted model, not a curated record.